AUUUAAAAAACUGCUUGAUAAGCUAAUCUUAUGUCAAAUAAAAAUGUCUUCUCAUUUUAAAUAAGUAUAAUGUCUGCUUGAUAAGCUUGCUUCUCUUCUUCAUUUUGCCUCUCUUCAAUUGAUCCCUCGAAGUACCCCCGCCGCCGUGCCGCCGCCGCCGUGCCGCCGCCGCCGCGUAGCUGCCGCCGCGCAUCUCCCUCUCCUUGCUUAUCUCCGGCGUGUUCUUCUUUGUCGGUGCCAUCGGGAUCGUCUUCGCCAUUGUCGUGCUCUUUCGCCCCCCCCGAGGACACGCUUAGGAACUUCCGGUCAAGAUCUAGCGUUGGUGGCGGUGUUGGGUUGGAGGAUCGGCCGAAGCUGCUGGGCUUCGUCGGGGUGCAGACGGGGUUUGGAUCCGCUGAUCGUCGGGUUGCGCUUCGGAGCACUUGGUUCCCUUCCGAUCCGGAGGCUCUAGCUUGGCUUCGAAGCGGGGUUUUUGCUGGAGGAAAACCCAAUAAGGAAUUGAUUGUCUUGAGGCAUUUUGAAUUGUUGUAGGAAAGAAAUGAACCACUGGGGGAGACUCUUGUUCUCUUCAUCAAUCAUCACCAAGGUCUGUAGAGAGUCAACCUUCUCGACACAUGCCAGCUUUGAGCAAUCAAUGACUUCCAAUUCUCUCAAUGCAGGGAGAUCAGAGACCCUCGAAAGUUUGGCAGCUUGUUUGAUGUGCAAUUUUGGGAUGCGAUUCAGGCCUUUGGGAAGAUCUUUAAGCUUGGGACAAUUUUUAAUGGCAAUACGAAUAAGACGAGGGAAGAGCAAUAGGCUGCUAGAUUCAAGCUCGUUUUCUUCCUCUCCACUCAUUAGUGACCAUGCCUCCCAAUUGGUCAUAUUCCAAAUUAUUAAGUAUUCAAGCUUGGGGAAGGCACUUUUUGCAUGUUCUCCAUUGCCAAGAAAUUCAGGACCAAUUGGCAGUUGGCCAAGCUGGGGAAACUGAGAGCAGUUGGUGCAACGACCAAUUAUCAAACAGUUCAAUUCAAGAAAAGCAGUACUAAUUGAAGUGGAUGUCAGCCACUUUGGUUAUAUAAACAUCAUGAUUCUAAUCAACAAUAAUUAGGCACUUACAGGUUAUAUAAAUAUACAAAGGAGUGAUGAUUUAUACAUACCAGUCAUGUCUUGAACAAGAUUGGUUUCAUAGGAAUACGGUUCCUAAGUGUACUUCAAAUACAUGCUUCUCCCUUUUGCAUAUGCUACCAAGCGGGGUACUUGCUGGAGGAACAACCAAUAUGGAGACCGUUGCAAACACCCAUGGAGUGCUUGUACAGUGCACUCCAAAUACAAGCAAAAAUGAUCUUCAUGAGGUUUUUCACGUUGUUGGAGAAAUGAGAUAAGCCACUCGGAGACUUCUGCUCUCUUCAUCAAUAAGCUUCAAGCUCUGCAAAGAGUCAAGCUUCUCCACAAGCAAUCAACAACUUCCUACUCUCUCAAGGAAGGGAGACCAGAGACCCUUGAAAGACUGACAACCUUCGAUUUGCAAUUCUUUGAUGUUGGUAUGUUUCAAGCUUCUUGGAAGAGCUUUCAACUUGGGGCAGUCGAAAAUAGAAAAUUUCUUUAGACUCCUUUUUGUCUUCUCACUUAGUCAUGUUCAACAGUAGUUGAGGGCAACUCGAGCAAUUAACAAGCUGUAAACCAGUCAAUUCAUGAAGAGUUGUACUGAUGGAAGUGGAUGACAUCCACUUUGGAUACUAGUUGCCAAAAAAGCCCCUAAUUAUUUGAGAAUGAAUCAAUUUCUUCAGAUUA
Molecule: long non-coding RNA, 1770 nt
Organism: Dioscorea cayenensis subsp. rotundata (Guinea yam)
Lineage: Eukaryota; Viridiplantae; Streptophyta; Magnoliopsida; Dioscoreales; Dioscoreaceae
Exons: 2
Source: RefSeq, a predicted model, not a curated record